GAUGAAGAACGUAGCGAAAUGCGAUAAGUAAUGUGAAUUGCAGAAUUCAGUGAAUCAUCGAAUCUUUGAACGCACCUUGCACCCUUUGGACUUCUCCAAAGGGUAUGCUCGUUUGAGUGUCAUUGUACUCUCACACUCUCUGAUCCUUUGGAUUUGGGGAGCAGUGGACUUGGGUGCUUGCUGCUUCCUUGUGGCUCACCUGAAAUGCAUCAGUGCAUCUCUCGAUUGGACAUAGUACGGCGUGAUAAGUGUCUUCGCCGGCACCUCAUAUGAGGGUGGCCGAUCGGGAGCUCUGUGCUUUCAAACCGUCUUCGGACAACGCUGACAACUUGACCUCAAAUCGAGUAGGACUACCCGCUGAACUUAAGCAUAUCAAUAAGCGGAGGA
RNAcentral lists this unclassified non-coding RNA (387 nucleotides) under soil metagenome. RNAcentral describes it as "partial contains 5.8S ribosomal RNA, internal transcribed spacer 2, and large subunit ribosomal RNA". The stretch from base 1 to 122 matches the Rfam family "5.8S ribosomal RNA", at positions 35 to 154 of the family's 154-position model. The record is from RNAcentral.